UUGCAAGAGUCACCAUGAGCCACUUAUUAAUCUUAUUUGCAUUUUAAAAGGACUGCAGUGUGGAGAAUUGAAUAUAGCAAAAGAAUACAAAUGAGAAGGACAACUAUUUUCAUGUGUUUAAUUUCCCUAAAUAAUUUGUAAUUGACUUCAGCGUAGGACCACUGCAUUCUUCUGUCUUUCUGCCCAGAGAAACACCUGUAACUUCAAAUUUCAUAGAAAUUUAUUAAUGAAAUCAUUUUUUUUAAUUUCAUGUCCAGCUCUUCCUGAUUCCAUGGACUGUAGCCCGCCAGGCUCCUCUGUCCAGGCAAGAAUACUGGAGUGGGUUGCCAUUUCCUUCUCCAGGGGAUUUUCUCGACCCAGGGAUCAAACCAGCAUCUCUUGCAUUGGGCUCAAUUCACAUUCCCCUCUCCUCCCUGUUUGUUUUCAUUGCAAUCAAGGAAAGUUUACUGCAUUCAUACUUCUUAAAGCUACUCCUAAGGAGGCCUGGUGUGCUGCGAUUCAUGGGGUUGCAAAGAGUCGGACACGACUGAGCGACUGAACUGAACUGAAGCUGUACUUUCCUCCUAUUUCUGGAAAUUAUUUUCCUGCUAAAAUGAAUUAUUCUCCACUUUGUACCUAUAGAACUCAAUUUAAUUUUUAUCUUUCCACUUCUUCAAUUUGUCGAGAUGCUUUGAAUUUAAAUUCUACAAUAAGAAAGUCAAUCCCCCCAAGUAGAUGUCAUCAGUACAAAUGUAAUGUGUAUUCAUUCAAGUAAUUGAUAGAAGAGUGUCUGUUUUCUGCCCGGAAGAUGUUAAUCUGAGCCCUGCCCUCUCCAGUUAAUUUAGAAAUAUUGUUAACUGCUAUGAUAAAAUUUAUUAUGCAAAGGGGAAAAUGUGAUAUAAACAAUCAAAUCAUUUUAUUUCUUGAAUGCUUUGUAUAUAUCAUACUAGACUAAGCAGAGAAGGCAACGGCACCCCACUCCAGUACUCUUGCCUGGAAAAUCCCAUGGAUGGAGGAGCCUGGAAGGCUGCAGUCCAUGGGGUCGCUGAGGGUCGGACACGACUGAGCGACUUCGCUUUCACUUUUCACUUUCAUGCAUUGGAGAAGGAAAUGGCAACCCACUCCAUUGUUCUUGCCUGGAGAAUCCCAGGGACGGGGGAGCCUGGUGAGCUGCCGUCUAUGGGGUUGCACAGAGUUGGACACGACUGAAGUGACUUAGCAGCAGCAAGCAAAUUAAAAUCAACCAAAUGUAUUUUUUUAUCAGUCUCACAUUUCUAAAGCAAAUGAAAUCAAAUAAUAAGGUUUUGGG
Bos taurus (domestic cattle) is the source of this 1288-nucleotide long non-coding RNA. The record is from Ensembl. Lineage: Eukaryota; Metazoa; Chordata; Mammalia; Artiodactyla; Bovidae.